AUGAACGCUAGCUACAGGCUUAACACAUGCAAGUCGAGGGCAGCGGAUUGAAGCUUGCUUCAAUUGCCGGCGACCGGCGCACGGGUGAGUAACGCGUAUCCAACCUUCCGUACACUCAGGGAUAGCCUUUCGAAAGAAAGAUUAAUACCUGAUGGUAUGAUGAGAUUGCAUGAUAGCAUCAUUAAAGAUUUAUCGGUGUACGAUGGGGAUGCGUUCCAUUAGGUAGUAGGCGGGGUAACGGCCCACCUAGCCAACGAUGGAUAGGGGUUCUGAGAGGAAGGUCCCCCACAUUGGAACUGAGACACGGUCCAAACUCCUACGGGAGGCAGCAGUGAGGAAUAUUGGUCAAUGGACGAGAGUCUGAACCAGCCAAGUAGCGUGAAGGAUGAAGGUCCUACGGAUUGUAAACUUCUUUUAUAAGGGAAUAAACCCUCCCACGUGUGGGAGCUUGUAUGUACCUUAUGAAUAAGCAUCGGCUAACUCCGUG
RNAcentral lists this ribosomal RNA (487 nucleotides) under uncultured bacterium. RNAcentral describes it as "bacterial SSU rRNA". It matches the Rfam family "Bacterial small subunit ribosomal RNA", at positions 29 to 507 of the family's 1533-position model. The record is from RNAcentral.